Molecule: transfer RNA, 85 nt
Organism: Felis catus (domestic cat)
Lineage: Eukaryota; Metazoa; Chordata; Mammalia; Carnivora; Felidae
Rfam family: tRNA
About the family: Transfer RNA (tRNA) molecules are approximately 80 nucleotides in length.
Source: Rfam
GCCUGGGUGGCUCAGUCGGUUGAGCGUCCGACUUCAGCUCGGGUCAUGAUCUCACAGUCUGUGAGUUCGAGCCCCGCGUCGGGCC